UACGUAGGGUCCGAGCGUUGUCCGGAUUUAUUGGGCGUAAAGAGCUCGUAGGCGGUUCCGUAGGUCAGAUGUGAAAACUCAGGGCUCAACCCGGAGACGCCAUCUGAUACUGCGGUGACUGGAGUCUGGUAGGGGAACACGGAAUUCCUGGUGUAGCGGUGAAAUGCGCAGAUAUCAGGAGGAACACCGAUGGCGAAGGCAGUGUUCUGGGCCAGUACUGACGCUGAGGAGCGAAAGCGUGGGGAGCAAACAGG
RNAcentral lists this ribosomal RNA (254 nucleotides) under uncultured bacterium. RNAcentral's name for it is "partial 16S ribosomal RNA". It matches the Rfam family "Bacterial small subunit ribosomal RNA", at positions 524 to 776 of the family's 1533-position model. The record is from RNAcentral.